RNAcentral lists this long non-coding RNA (982 nucleotides) under Capra hircus (goat). RNAcentral describes it as "lncRNA (ENSCHIG00010014578.1)". The record is from RNAcentral. Lineage: Eukaryota; Metazoa; Chordata; Mammalia; Artiodactyla; Bovidae.
CGAGGUUUUUGUGUGUGUUUUUUUUUUUUUUUGAAUCUUAUUCAUCCCAAUGAGCUAACGGUAAAAGAAUAUCUUUUGAAAUGAACUUUUAAGAGGGUCUUUUAAUGAACUUUUAAAUUAUAUGUAAACUCCUUAACCCAAUAUAUAAGUUUCUUCCCAAAUAUAGUUCUUCAGCAUAGACCCACUUUGGUUCUUCAGUGACCAACCAUAUCCCCAUGUCUGUUCCUACCACUGCUCAUAGAGGUAUAAACACCUAAGUAUGUUUUACCUCUUGUAAGACGAACAGAAUUUUACCAGAAAUAAUAAGCAGCAAUUUACCCUAAAAAUGGGUCAAUACUUCAGAAAAAUAAACUCAUUUCAACAUUUUGAUUAAAUUUUUAGGUAGAAUUUAUAUUAUUUUCAAAUGCAGUCUUUCAAAACACAUUAAAUGGCUGAAAACCUUGAAGAAUUUGAUGGAUUUUGAAAGGAAACGAUUCAGUCUAUAUACAUGUAUGACAUUUCAUUUCUUAGGUUUUAAAAUUAAUUAUGCUAUAGUCUUGCACACUUCUAUUCUCACCUGAUUCCCAAUUAAGUAAACAGAAAUACAUAUGCAAGUUAAUAAACUUUUUCUCUUGCAUAAAGAAUUUUACAACUACAGGAAAAUAAUGCCUAAUGUUUAGCCCUUGGGUCUAAUAUGCAUGCCUUUAGAAAAUCAAGUAAAAUAAAAUAUAUCUUAUUAAUAGAAUAUUUUAAAUUAGCCAUUCUAAUUAAUCAGCCAUAAAGUUAAAUCGUUUAGUCAAAUAUCAUAGUGAAGCCAUGACAAAACAAUUAAGUGACCAUAGCAUUAAAGAAGAUGCUAUGAAAACUGUGACUUUGAUUAAAUAGUAAAGAAAUAUGUAAUAAAUUUAUAUAUAUAGCUAAGAUAAAAAAUGAGAAUUAUCUUUACUUUGUUCACAAAAUUGUAUUUGUUGGCUAGGUUUAGUAGUCUCUAUUAUGACUCACC